This 492-nucleotide ribosomal RNA is filed under the name uncultured Bacillota bacterium. RNAcentral's name for it is "bacterial SSU rRNA". It matches the Rfam family "Bacterial small subunit ribosomal RNA", at positions 355 to 864 of the family's 1533-position model. Lineage: Bacteria; Bacillati; Bacillota. The record is from RNAcentral.
UGGGGAAUAUUGCACAAUGGGCGAAAGCCUGAUGCAGCAACGCCGCGUGAGUGAUGAAGGCCUUCGGGUUGUAAAGCUCUGUCUUUUGGGACGAUAAUGACGGUACCAAAGGAGGAAGCCACGGCUAACUACGUGCCAGCAGCCGCGGUAAUACGUAGGUGGCGAGCGUUGUCCGGAUUUACUGGGCGUAAAGGAUGCGUAGGCGGAUAUUUAAGUGAGAUGUGAAAUACCCGGGCUUAACUUGGGUGCUGCAUUUCAAACUGGAUAUCUAGAGUGCGGGAGAGGAGAAUGGAAUUCCUAGUGUAGCGGUGAAAUGCGUAGAGAUUAGGAAGAACACCAGUGGCGAAGGCGAUUCUCUGGACCGUAACUGACGCUGAGGCAUGAAAGCGUGGGUAGCAAACAGGAUUAGAUACCCUGGUAGUCCACGCCGUAAACGAUGAGUACUAGGUGUAGGAGGGUCCAACCUUCUGUGCCGCAGUUAACACAAUAACG